Molecule: ribosomal RNA, 462 nt
Filed under: uncultured bacterium
Lineage: Bacteria
Description: partial 16S ribosomal RNA
Rfam family: Bacterial small subunit ribosomal RNA
Source: RNAcentral
GAUCAACGCUGGCGGCGUGCUUAACACAUGCAAGUCGAACGAAGUUUUUCUUUCGGGAGGAACUUAGUGGCGGACGGGUGAGUAACGCGUGGGUAACCUGCCCUGUACAGGGGGACAACAGCUGGAAACGGCUGCUAAUACCGCAUAAGCCCUUAGCACUGCAUGGUGCAUAGGGAAAAGGAGCAAUCCGGUACAGGAUGGACCCGCGUCAGAUUAGCCAGUUGGCAGGGUAACGGCCUACCAAAGCGACGAUCAGUAGCCGAUCUGAGAGGAUGUACGGCCACAUUGGGACUGAGACACGGCCCAGACUCCUACGGGAGGCAGCAGUGGGGAAUAUUGCACAAUGGAGGAAACUCUGAUGCAGCGACGCCGCGUGAGUGAAGAAGUAUUUCGGUAUGUAAAGCUCUAUCAGCAGGAAAGAAAAUGACGGUACCUGUCUAAGAAGCACCGGCUAAAUACGUG